UUGAACGCUGGCGGCAUGCUUUACACAUGCAAGUCGAACGGCAGCGGGGGCUUCGGCCUGCCGGCGAGUGGCGAACGGGUGAGUAAUAUAUCGGAACAUAUCCUGUCGUGGGGGAUAACUAAUCGAAAGGUUAGCUAAUACCGCAUACGACCUGAGGGAGAAAGCGGGGGCUCGCAAGACCUCGCGCGAUUGGAGUGGCCGAUAUCUGAUUAGCUAGAUGGUGAGGUAAAGGCUCACCAUGGCGACGAUCAGUAGCUGGUCUGAGAGGAUGAUCAGCCACACUGGGACUGAGACACGGCCCAGACUCCUACGGGAGGCAGCAGUGGGGAAUUUUGGACAAUGGGCGAAAGCCUGAUCCAGCCAUUCCGCGUGAGUGAAGAAGGCCUUCGGGUUGUAAAGCUCUUUCAGCCGGAACGAAACGGUACGCUCUAACAUAGCGUGCUAAUGACGGUACCGGCAGAAGAAGCACCGGCUAACUACGU
Molecule: ribosomal RNA, 482 nt
Filed under: uncultured bacterium
Lineage: Bacteria
Description: bacterial SSU rRNA
Rfam family: Bacterial small subunit ribosomal RNA
Source: RNAcentral